UAAUCGAAAUGGCACACUUAUUGAAAGAUAAGGUCGCAAAGCCACGGGCCUAAGGCAAUGAGCUAGGGUAGCCGGGCUGCCGAA
This 84-nucleotide non-coding RNA is filed under the name Sporolactobacillus inulinus. Its description in RNAcentral is "c-di-GMP sequence". It matches the Rfam family "c-di-GMP-I riboswitch aptamer". From Rfam's summary of the family: GEMM was predicted in a large-scale screen for bacterial structured RNA regulatory elements. Lineage: Bacteria; Bacillati; Bacillota; Bacilli; Caryophanales; Sporolactobacillaceae. The record is from Rfam by way of RNAcentral. RNAcentral also lists the same sequence under 1 other name.